CCCCGGUCUAACCACCGGGAUUUUCAUAACCCUUUGUUGUCCGACUCUGUUGCCUCCGGGGCGACCCUGCCUUCGGGCGGGGGCUCCGGGUGGACACUUCAAACUCUUGCGUAACUUUGCAGUCUGAGUAAACUUAAUUAAUAAAUUAAAACUUUUAACAACGGAUCUCUUGGUUCUGGCAUCGAUGAAGAACGCAGCGAAAUGCGAUAAGUAAUGUGAAUUGCAGAAUUCAGUGAAUCAUCGAAUCUUUGAACGCACAUUGCGCCCCCUGGUAUUCCGGGGGGCAUGCCUGUUCGAGCGUCAUUUCACCACUCAAGCCUCGCUUGGUAUUGGGCAUCGCGGUCCGCCGCGUGCCUCAAAUCGACCGGCUGGGUCUUCUGUCCCCUAAGCGUUGUGGAAACUAUUCGCUAAAGGGUGUUCGGGAGGCUACGCCGUAAAACAACCCCAUUUCUAAGGUUGACCUCGGAUCAGGUAGGGAUACCCGCUGAACUUAAGCAUAUCAUUAAGCGGAGGAAA
This 516-nucleotide ribosomal RNA is filed under the name Cladosporium tenuissimum. Its description in RNAcentral is "eukaryotic LSU rRNA". The stretch from base 150 to 303 matches the Rfam family "5.8S ribosomal RNA". Lineage: Eukaryota; Fungi; Ascomycota; Dothideomycetes; Cladosporiales; Cladosporiaceae. The record is from RNAcentral.